GAAGAAUUAGUUAACUAAUAACAUUAGCGUGUCAAACUAAAAUAAUCAUUUUUGGAGAAAUGAUAUUCCUCA
RNAcentral lists this transfer RNA (72 nucleotides) under Pseudoglomeris angustifolia. RNAcentral describes it as "tRNA-Asp". Lineage: Eukaryota; Metazoa; Arthropoda; Insecta; Blattodea; Blaberidae. The record is from RNAcentral.